GUGUACUUAGCUCAGUUGGCAGAGCAUCGGAUUGUGGAUCCGAAGGUCACGGGUUCGAACCCCGUAGUACACACCA
Molecule: transfer RNA, 76 nt
Filed under: Candidatus Falkowiibacteriota bacterium
Lineage: Bacteria; Candidatus Falkowiibacteriota
Description: tRNA-His
Rfam family: tRNA
About the family: Transfer RNA (tRNA) molecules are approximately 80 nucleotides in length.
Source: RNAcentral